UCUAUAGUAGCUUCUGCAAGUAUACACCAGGUAUUAGAUUAAUUGAUGGGGAACAGAGAAGAAAUCUCAUCUUCAUUAAGAGCAGGAAGAGGAAGAAAUCAUCUCACCUGGGAUAUGUUGCACCAAGUAUGUCCUUUUGGCCAUAUUUUCUCCAGCUAUAACCAUCCUCGUGGGGUCCUUCAAAUCCUGUCUCAGAGUUCACUUUCACUUUUCUUAAAACUUGGCGAAAAAAGUUGGAAAGAAGAUUCUAAACUCACCUCUUCUUUGAUUCCUUUCUGGGGUCCUGCUGAGGGUCCUUGAGGCCUCUGCCAGAAUCAUCACUAGAAGCACUUCCAUUGACAGAAAUUGGUGACCCUGGCAAUCCGGGGGCUACUUCCGGCAUCGGAGGCUGAUUCAUUGAUGCUGAACUCAACUCUGUUCUCAAUCGCUUGGUCUAUCAAGAAGCAGAAGCUUUCUAUCUAAGGAGAAGAAGCAGAAGGUAGAGCAAAUGGAAGACCCAAAUGGUAAAGAAACAAAGACAACAAACAUGGAAGUAGCCAGGUAGGUAGUUUGGUUAACUGGGUAUGUUUGUGUUUAAUCAAAACCGAAGUAGAAUAGAGAGAAGAAGAAGAACAAAGAGAGAGAGUGAGAGAGAGAGAGAUGAGGAGAAGCUUUGGAUUGAAGAAGAACCGGUCAUGGGGUUCUUAUAAGGAAUUGAAAAGGGAAAACAACUUCGUUUCAUUCUUUUUUAAAAUUUUCUUGAAGAUUUAGAAUUGGGAAACUUUUGACUGAGACAAACCCGAGUUGCUUUCUUCCCUUGGCUCUUUGUUUUGAUAGGCUGGUCUUUUUUGUGGAAGUCCAAGUUCAAAAUCUGACCAAGUCCACUUCCACUUGGAUCUAACUUCCAAAAGGGUUUCUCUUUCUCCCUCUAGAUCCUACGGCUGUGGUUUGUGUUGAAUGAAAUUCCAUGAUUGAGAUAGAGAGAGAAGUGGAAAGUCAAAGUCCAUGCUUGGAGAGUAGACCAAGAAUUUUCAAAGCUGAAAUCCGCGUUGUAGUAUAGUAAACAUGUGCUCUCUCUCUCUUUUUAAAUCUAAUGCUUAUGAUUGUGAGUGAA
Cucurbita pepo subsp. pepo (vegetable marrow) is the source of this 1093-nucleotide long non-coding RNA. RefSeq lists it as uncharacterized. The record is from RefSeq and is a predicted model, not a curated record. NCBI's taxonomy places the organism in Eukaryota, Viridiplantae, Streptophyta, Magnoliopsida, Cucurbitales, Cucurbitaceae.